RNAcentral lists this transfer RNA (67 nucleotides) under Chamaeleo dilepis (flapneck chameleon). Its description in RNAcentral is "tRNA-Val". It matches the Rfam family "tRNA". Rfam says of the family: Transfer RNA (tRNA) molecules are approximately 80 nucleotides in length. Their secondary structure includes four short double-helical elements and three loops (D, anti-codon, and T loops). Lineage: Eukaryota; Metazoa; Chordata; Lepidosauria; Squamata; Chamaeleonidae. The record is from RNAcentral.
CAAAAAGUAGCUUAAUCCAAAGCAUUCGCCUUACAAUUGAAAAAUGUUGACUGACCAACCUUUUUGA